This 404-nucleotide transfer-messenger RNA is filed under the name Candidatus Saccharimonadota bacterium. It matches the Rfam family "transfer-messenger RNA". Rfam says of the family: Bacterial tmRNA, also known as 10Sa RNA or SsrA, is named for its dual tRNA and mRNA-like properties. Lineage: Bacteria; Candidatus Saccharimonadota. RNAcentral also lists the same sequence under 1 other name. The record is from RNAcentral.
GGGGCUGAUAUAGCUUUAGACAAUUGGAACUUAAUAAUAUAUUCCGCAGAUCGAUCUAUACACGUAAAGUAUUAUUUAAUUGCAAAAUCUAAAAUUGCGUCUGCAUUUGAUAGUGUAAAGAGUAUUUUUGCUCCACGAUCACUUGCAGUUGUUGCUGCUUAAUUUAAGGCAACCAUUUCGUUUAUUUUCGCAGUAUUAGAAUAGGCGAGGUGUUAUAUUUUAUACUGCUUGCUAUCAGUUAGAAGUAGUGCGCUGAUAGGACUAUUUAUUCUACGUAACUAACUAUCAUUUUUUGGUUUAUUUAUAUAUUGAUUGUUGGUUAUAAAAAAUUAAAUAAACCUAUAUCUGUAGACGAGUAUAUUGUUACCAUUUGGACCGGGGGGCAGUACCCCGCAGCUCCACCA